AUCUGGCUAGCUCAGUAGUAGAGCAUGUGACUCUCAAUCUCAGGGUCAUAAGUUCAAGCUCAUGUUGGGCA
Molecule: transfer RNA, 71 nt
Filed under: Canis lupus familiaris (dog)
Lineage: Eukaryota; Metazoa; Chordata; Mammalia; Carnivora; Canidae
Also listed under: 2 other names
Rfam family: tRNA
About the family: Transfer RNA (tRNA) molecules are approximately 80 nucleotides in length.
Source: Rfam by way of RNAcentral